This 1385-nucleotide ribosomal RNA is filed under the name uncultured bacterium. RNAcentral describes it as "bacterial SSU rRNA". It matches the Rfam family "Bacterial small subunit ribosomal RNA", at positions 18 to 1396 of the family's 1533-position model. The record is from RNAcentral.
CCUGGCUCACGUAUGAACGCUAGCUACAGGCUUAACACAUGCAAGUCGAGGGGCAGCAUGGUCUUAGCUUGCUAAGGCCGAUGGCGACCGGCGCACGGGUGAGUAACGCGUAUCCAACCUGCCUUACACUCUUGGACAGCCUUCUGAAAGGGAGAUUAAUACAAGAUGUUAUCAUGAGUAAGCAUUUUCGCAUGAUUAAAGGUUUACCGGUGUAAGAUGGGGAUGCGUUCCAUUAGAUAGUAGGCGGGGUAACGGCCCACCUAGUCUUCGAUGGAUAGGGGUUCUGAGAGGAAGGUCCCCCACAUUGGAACUGAGACACGGUCCAAACUCCUACGGGAGGCAGCAGUGAGGAAUAUUGGUCAAUGGACGAGAGUCUGAACCAGCCAAGUAGCGUGAAGGAUGAAGGUUCUAUGGAUUGUAAACUUCUUUUAUACGGGAAUAAACGAAUCCACGUGUGGAUUUUUGCAUGUACCGUAUGAAUAAGGAUCGGCUAACUCCGUGCCAGCAGCCGCGGUAAUACGGAGGAUCCGAGCGUUAUCCGGAUUUAUUGGGUUUAAAGGGAGCGUAGAUGGGUUGUUAAGUCAGUUGUGAAAGUUUGCGGCUCAACCGUAAAAUUGCAAUUGAUACUGGCAGUCUUGAGUACAGUUGAGGUAGGCGGAAUUCGUGGUGUAGCGGUGAAAUGCUUAGAUAUCACGAAGAACUCCGAUUGCGAAGGCAGCUUACUAACCUGUAACUGACAUUGAUGCUCGAAAGUGUGGGUAUCAAACAGGAUUAGAUACCCUGGUAGUCCACACGGUAAACGAUGAAUACUCGCUGUAGGCGAUAUACAGUCUGCGGCCAAGCGAAAGCAUUAAGUAUUCCACCUGGGGAGUACGCCGGCAACGGUGAAACUCAAAGGAAUUGACGGGGGCCCGCACAAGCGGAGGAACAUGUGGUUUAAUUCGAUGAUACGCGAGGAACCUUACCCGGGCUUAAAUUGCAACCGAAUAUGGCGGAAACGCUAUAGCUAGCAAUAGCGGUUGUGAAGGUGCUGCAUGGUUGUCGUCAGCUCGUGCCGUGAGGUGUCGGCUUAAGUGCCAUAACGAGCGCAACCCUUGCCGAUAGUUACUAACAGGUUAUGCUGAGGACUCUGUCGGGACUGCCAUCGUAAGAUGUGAGGAGGUGGGGAUGACGUCAAAUCAGCACGGCCCUUACGUCCGGGGCUACACACGUGUUACAAUGGGGGGUACAGAGGGCUGCUACCACGCAAGUGGAUGCCAAUCCCAAAAACCUCUCUCAGUUCGGAUUGAAGUCUGCAACCCGACUUCAUGAAGCUGGAUUCGCUAGUAAUCGCGCAUCAGCCACGGCGCGGUGAAUACGUUCCCGGGCCUUGUACACACCGCCCG